Long non-coding RNA from Anas platyrhynchos (mallard), 1170 nucleotides. RefSeq lists it as uncharacterized. The record is from RefSeq and is a predicted model, not a curated record. NCBI's taxonomy places the organism in Eukaryota, Metazoa, Chordata, Aves, Anseriformes, Anatidae.
CGCGAGCUGGGGACGGAGGGGGAGAGGUUACCGGGGGAGAAUAUAUCUCCCCUACACAUCACUCCCACCCUUCCUCUGGUGCAAGCGCCACUAAAUCUCACCCUAACAUCCCUUCGCUUUAGGAGACUUGGCGAGACUGUUAGAGGGAUCCAGGUGGCCACCUCCUGGACAGCAGCUCCACAGCACGCAUCCCGGCCGCGGUGCUGGGAGAGCCCCCGACGGCACCUUAUCCAUCACCCCCCAGUGAAGCACGGCAGAUUUUGGGACGGCCCCGGCAGCCGGGGGGACCACGAUCGUUCCCCUCACCCCGAGCGGCUGCCGAGGCAGGCAGCCCCCGCGGGACGCCGCCUGUGCCCACCUCGGCCGGGCAAGUCCCGGUACCCGAGGCAGACGCGGGCCCACCGCCGCCCCCGCGGUGAGCCGCUCUUACCAAACGCGAGAGGACGAGGGAUCCUGCCCUUCUCCUCCCUUCGAAACAACUAAUUAAUAAUCAGCCGCGCUGGGGGAAGCAUUAGCUCCUAGGAGCACGCGUGGGGCAGCUCCUCGGGGCUGCAUUUCGAUGCAGCGCGCUCACAAAGCGGAGCGUGCGGAGGAGGAGCGGCAGCAGCGCGCCCCGGGCCGUGCCGCUCCCGGCGCUGCCCGCUGCGGGGCCCGAGGAUCGGCCAGCGCCCAGCCAGCGGCUCGCAGCCCCCGCCCCCGGCCCCCAAAUGUCCCUGCCGCGGCUCCAGGGGGAGGCUGAAGCUUAGCCCCGAGGCGCGGAGCCUUUACCUGCCGCCUGCACGGAUUGCGCCCGCUGGCUUCCCGGUGGCAGUUUACGCCGCGACCUUCCCUUUCCCCCGCGGUGCUAAAGGUUGUCACAGAGCAUCGCCGACCUCGAAACGACGUCUUAAAAUUCAGACGGUAAAAGCUGCAACAGAAUAAAUUAAGGCGGCCCGUUAUUAGAGGAACCAAGCGCAAUUUCAUUUUCUCUUUAAACUGCUUAACCAAAACCGUCGGGUUUCGUUAUGGGUGAAACGGUUUUAAUUUUCACAAACCGUCUUCGGACAAAUUGCUUUUAAAUCACCCGUUUUGAUGUGUCAAUAAACCUUGUUGUUACAGGAAUUCGCGUGUAAUAUAACAGCGAAAGAUUUGGAGAUUAUCCGUGCCAAUAUUAAAGACUGUCUAAGUUUA